RNAcentral lists this ribosomal RNA (599 nucleotides) under Limnebius papposus. Its description in RNAcentral is "SSU rRNA". It matches the Rfam family "Eukaryotic small subunit ribosomal RNA", at positions 22 to 602 of the family's 1831-position model. Lineage: Eukaryota; Metazoa; Arthropoda; Insecta; Coleoptera; Hydraenidae. RNAcentral also lists the same sequence under 5 other names. The record is from RNAcentral.
AGUCAUAUGCUUGUCUCAAAGAUUAAGCCAUGCAUGUCUCAGUACAAGCCAAAUUAAGGUGAAACCGCGAAAGGCUCAUUAAAUCAGUUAUGGUUCCUUAGAUCGUACCCACACUUACUUGGAUAACUGUGGUAAUUCUAGAGCUAAUACAUGCAAAUAGAGCUCCGACCGGAGACGGAAGGAGCGCUUUUAUUAGAUCAAAACCAAUCGGUGGCGGCUUGCCGUCACCGUACUCCUUGGUGACUCUGAAUAACUUGUUGCUGAUCGCACGGUCUCGAACCGGCGACGCAUCUUUCAAAUGUCUGCCUUAUCAACUGUCGAUGGUAGGUUCUGCGCCUACCAUGGUUGUAACGGGUAACGGGGAAUCAGGGUUCGAUUCCGGAGAGGGAGCCUGAGAAACGGCUACCACAUCCAAGGAAGGCAGCAGGCGCGCAAAUUACCCACUCCCGGCACGGGGAGGUAGUGACGAAAAAUAACGAUACGGGACUCAUCCGAGGCCCCGUAAUCGGAAUGAGUACACUCUAAACCCUUUAACGAGGAUCAAUUGGAGGGCCAGUCUGGUGCCAGCAGCCGCGGUAAUUCCAGCUCCAAUAGCGUAU